UACGUAGGCAGCGAGCGUUGUUCGGAAUUACUGGGCGUAAAGAGUGUGUAGGCGGUGCUCUAAGUUCGGUGUGAAAUCUCCCGGCUUAACUGGGAGGGUGCGCCGGAAACUGGAGUGCUCGAGCGUGGGAGAGGAAAGCGGAAUUCCUGGUGUAGCGGUGAAAUGCGUAGAUAUCAGGAGGAACACCGGUGGUGUAGACGGCUUUCUGGACCGUAACUGACGCUGAGACACGAAAGCGUGGGUAGCAAACAGG
Molecule: ribosomal RNA, 253 nt
Filed under: uncultured bacterium
Lineage: Bacteria
Description: partial 16S ribosomal RNA
Rfam family: Bacterial small subunit ribosomal RNA
Source: RNAcentral